AUGUUUAUCUUUAUAAUGUUUUUUUUAUGCUCUUCAACUCAAUAUACAGGUGUAACAAAAUUGAGAACAAGUCUGAGCCAUGCCAGGAAUUCUUCAAAAUGUACACACUGCAGCCCUGCGAUGAGGUUUACAAGAACUGCUUACCAAGUCACCGUAGCCACCAGAUCCAGUCUGUAUGCAGAUCAGAGGGUCACUGCAGUCACCCGCAUCCAGUACGUAUCCAGCCCAGAUGGUGGAUCAGCACCUAGAAAGGACCUCUACAGCCCUGAAAGACAGCGGAGACCAGGACAACUAGAGCCCCAGAGACAGAUCCCCUGUAAAGACCUUGUCUCAGACGACCACCUGGACAAGACCACAGGAAACAGAUGAUUCUUCUGCACAAUCUGACUUUGCUGCAGCCUGGAAUUGAACUGCUGGUUUCGUCUGGUCAGAGGAGAACUGGCCCCCCAACUGAGCCUGGUUUCUCCCAAGGUUUUUCCUCCAUUCUGUCACUGAUGGAGUUUUGGUUCCUUGCCGCUGUCGCCUCUGGCUUGCUUAGG
Long non-coding RNA from Cyprinus carpio (common carp), 539 nucleotides. The record is from Ensembl. NCBI's taxonomy places the organism in Eukaryota, Metazoa, Chordata, Actinopteri, Cypriniformes, Cyprinidae.